Molecule: ribosomal RNA, 112 nt
Filed under: uncultured bacterium
Lineage: Bacteria
Description: partial 16S ribosomal RNA
Rfam family: Bacterial small subunit ribosomal RNA
Source: RNAcentral
UGUUGCGGUGAAUACGUUCCCGGGUCUUGUACACACCGCCCGUCAAACCAUGAAAGUGACCAACACCCGAAGUCCGAUUCGUCGGCCUAGGGUGGGGGGCAUGAUUGGGGUU